This 5834-nucleotide long non-coding RNA is filed under the name Homo sapiens (human). RNAcentral describes it as "HSALNT0161893". The record is from RNAcentral. Lineage: Eukaryota; Metazoa; Chordata; Mammalia; Primates; Hominidae.
AAAGAGGGAGUGAAGGUCUCUGAAAAUGUAGGAGUCCCUUUAGUAGAUGGGGAGAAAUGGGUUAAAGAUUUUUAAAAAUUGCACAGACAGUAGUUGUUUGCUCUUUGGUUACAGGUGAAUUAUCUCUAUCCUAGUUAGGAGUGGAGGACUGAAGUAUGUCUCAAUGCACAAACUAAGGCUGUGCAGGCUUGGAAAGAAAUUUUCUUUUGUAAUAAAAGGCUAGGCCCCUUGCUAUAGACAUGAGUGAUUAGUUACAAUAGGUUAUUGGGGGUAUCAUCCAGGUAAUGAAAUGUUCAACAAGAAGAUUAUAAAGGUAACUAGAUUUGCCCCAUGGAUUUUGCCCAGUGGUUUUGAAGGCAAAACAAGAUUAAUUUGAAUAUGUAAGGAAGAAAAAUAACUUGGGAUUGAUGAGGGGCUGAUUUUUUACAUUUAUAAAAGCCUGAUGGUGUCAACUACAAAUUUAAAAUCUGUAUUGGGUAUACACAGAACAAUCUCUAGUGUGGCACCAGAUUAAUGGGGGUACCUUGAAAAAUCAGGUCAGAAUAAAGUGACAGAAAUUAUAAAACAUACAUGAUAAUGAUAAUAAACAAGACAUUUAUUUUUCAUACUCUUUUGGGGGAAAGGAAAAAAAUCAGUUUGCCCUACCCAAUGAUGGUCUUUCUGAAAGAUUCUCCAUUCAUUCCAUAGAACUGGAUAGGUUGCUUCAUCUCAGAGGAUUUUGUACUCUUAAUUCAUAAAGAGAACUUCUCUUCAGGAAAGUGGUCAAAGGGUGAGCCUCUGUGAGCAGCUUCGCUGGUGCACAGCCAGACUCCCUCUCUGGGUGAAUCUUCCUGUAGUGUCUUCGAAUCUGGGGAUUUUUGUUCCAGCUUCUCUCUUCUGAAAGAAUUUUGGAUAUCCCAGCUUGAGGAUCCUGUAGCCUCAGAGUGGUCAUAUUUGUGGUGGGCUUCAGUCAUCACAUCUGAUAAAAUGAGAGGGAAGUCAUAUAAGAAGCACCAAUAAUGCUGAGUUAGAAUAGGGAAAAAGAAACAUAAUACUUUGAGUGCUUAUGAUGUGCCAGGCCUUAUUCUUUGCAUAGACAAUGCAAUCCUGAAAACAAUGCCAUGAGAGUGAUACAGAUAAUGGGAGCAAAGGGAGCCUGUCAAAGGUCACAGAGCUAGGUAAGUUAGAGCUGACUCAAAUAGGCAUUCUCCAUAGCAGUGUACUGCCUCUAAAUUUAAUUUAGGCCAACAAAUAACCUUGUAAGAUAGACAUGGUUUUCUCUAUUUUACAGGUCAGAAAACAGGCUCAGAAAAUUUAGAAAACUAUACAGAAUCACACAGAGCCCCAUACCCAACUUUUAUCUGACUCCAAAACAGGUGUGGAUCCAGGCUAUAUAAGGCCUAAAACUUUCCCAUUUUAGAGGCACCCUUUUAAGAAAAUGUAUAAAAUUAAGCACAGGGUCUUGGAGAGACCAAUCCAAGUGAGGGGUCCUAAAACUGAAGCUGCAUUUGCUUCUUCAGAAAUCCACCUCUGUCCAAUCUGUUCUGACAAUAGAAUAAGCACCAUGACCUCAGAAAAUAUGUAGCACAAUCCUGGGUACUUUACAUCUAUCAUUGCUAAUCCCUGCAACCCUACAAGAUAGAACUUAUUGUCCUAUUUUACAGACGAACCUGGAGCUUAAGGAAGUUAAAUAACCUGUCUGAUACUGCAGAUCUAGCCAUGGCAAUUAUAGAAUCUGAUCCAAGGAAUUUUUCCCAUUAAAAUCCUUGCUAUUUUCAGUCUACUAAGCUAUGGCAAAACUGAAAUCAAUUUUGGUUUGGAAGUUAUUCUCUAUGCAGAUAUUGACUUUUUUUUUUCCGAAUACUGCCCUGCAUCUGAGCCUCCUGGUGCACUUUAAAUAUGGGUCCAUUCAUCACCAUUAACAGUUUUCUUGGUGUCUGUCACUCCAGGGUAAUCUUCUCCUUGUUCCCUUGCCUUAUUCAGAGACAGUGCUGAGAUUUAAGCUGCUCAUUCAUUCUCAGAGACUACUUCAACGCUACCUCCAUAUCAAGAUGGUUCUCUUGCUCUGUUUCUACUAUUACUUCUAACUCCAGCUCACAGGCUUUUCUUAUAACCCUAGGAACAGCAAGCUCUACCAAAGCAAGGUCUCCUCUGCUUCCUCAGACUGCCGACCAGUGCUGAGAACAGGGACACUGAAUAUCUGUGAGCUGAGCGCAUCCAGCCAUCAACUGACUCACUCACUGAAGAACGCUACAUUCUGGGCAUAUCUUCCAUGACAGUCCAGCAGGGUAGCUGUUGGAAAUCCAAACAUGUCCACUCCUGCUUACGACCUCAGUCACCACCUCUUCAUAUGAUUCUUCCAUGGGCUGUUCCUGAGCACCUGAGGGAGAAAAACAAACAGAAACAAACAGGAAAGGGCAGAAUAAUUGAUAUGUGAGAAGGAAAAAGUCAACAGUUGUUGAGACAUAAGUGAAUGUAAGAAACCUAGAUUGUUUGACAUAAUGUCAGUUACUAAAAUAUCACUGCAAAAUGGGCCCAAAGGUACCAGGACCACACACAAAUGAGUCUAGGAGGAAGCAGGAUGUGGGAAAGCAGAGAACACAUAAACAUAUAUCUCUUCCUGCCAAUCCCAAGUUAAUAGUCACUCCUGUUUACACUUUGGUCUUGGCAUGUAAUUGGGAUCUUCCAUUUUGGUUCCCCACCUAACCACCUACUACUUUCUUCCCUCCAAGCCCCAGAGGAAUUCAGAAUCUAAGAAAACAACAUUUCAGCCUUCAUGAUUGGUUGGAGCCAAUCAGCUCUCCAGUUAUCUGUAGUUACAAAGACUUAACAAGAGAGUCCAUUUGUUACCACUGAACAAUUCUUAGGAGGCUCCAGACCCAGACUCGCCUUUCUCUUGCUCUUGAAGAUACAAGAAUACCAGUUCUGACCAAGUGUAAACACUUGUCAAUUCUUGGAAAAGAAAGACCUACUCUGGACUCCAAGCCCAAGGCACUCCAACUAGGUUAAGUAACUUGCCCAGAAACCCACAGAAAAUAAGGAGUCAAAGUGGAGCAAAGGUUCAAAUCCAAGACUUUCUGGAUCCAAAAUGUAUGCUCUUACAUUAGACAGUUGUCUAGUUCCUAAUCACUAAAGAGCUGGUCAGAAUGCUUAUAAAAUUGAACAGAAAGGAAGAGAGUUUGACCAGAUUGAAGUGCUCUUUCAGAUCCUAGGAAUCCUCUUGUAUGUGCUCUAAAUUAUUUUUUAAUUUUUUUAAAAUUCUGAGUCAAGAUUUUGCUCUGUUGCCCAGGCUGGAGUACAGUGACUCAAUUACAGCUUGCUGUGACUUUGAACUCCUGGACUCAACGGAUCCUCCCACUUCAGCCUCCCAAAUAACUAGGACUACAGGUAAGCACCACCAAGCCUGGCUAAUUUUUAAAAAUUAUUUUAACUUUUUUUUGUAGAGAUCGGGUCUCAUUAUCCUGCCCAGGCUGGUCUCCAACUCUUGGCCUGAAGUGACCCUCCUGCCUCGGCCUCCCAAGACAUGUAGGCAUGAGCUACUACACCUGGCCCACAUGAUCUAUUUUUUAAAAAAAAUAUUUCUUCUUACUUCAGGAUCCUAAUUACUGAAUUCUUAUACUUUUAAGAAAUGCAGUGGUUCAAUGCAUACUCCUUGUUUCCCUCUAAUUUGUCCUAUCAAAAUGCUGGCCUUCUGAUUUAAUGAAAUAAUAGUAUGAUGCUACCAUUCUUUGUUUUGUCAACCUAAGCACCUGGUUCUUCUUGACAACUGCACAUUCUGCUACAUGCUGUGAUGACCAGGAGAAUCAUUUAAAUUUUUAUUUGGAGGACUCACUUCCAACUUGGAACACAAGCUGCAAAGGAAUUCCCUACCAGCAUGCCAGCACAUCAUUUGGAAGUUCAAGGUAUUCUUGCUCAACAGCUGCACACACAUUAAAAGUCCCUGGGGUACAUGGCGCCUGCUGCCUGGGGUUGGACUCUGUCGCCGGGGAUUCCAGAAAUUAGAGUAGAAUUCACAGCUCUGCCUCUCCACCUGCUGUGAGGUCUUCAAGUUACAACUCCGCCGCCUAUCAGGGACCUCCGUGAUUAGUAAGGGAGAAAUUGUCAUAUUUUUCUCCCUAGAUCACAGGUCUGAGGAAGCAGUUUCCCCAAGAUUUUGUAAAAGUGGCUUUAUAAUUAAAAACAUUGAUUUUCCUAUUAGAAAGGCUACUAUAUCCUUUGGAAAAAGCUUAGAAGUAGUCCGUGAGUCUUGGCUUCUUGCCGUGGCUCCCCCAGGAUAUGAUCUUGGGCGAGUAACCCAGCAGCCCUGACUCUGCUUCCCCACUUAUUAAACAGGUUACUAACACUGUCCUAUCAGGUAGGACAAUGAGAAGGAAAGAACCAAACAAGAGGAGUAUCAGACGAGACCACCAGACUUAAGAUCUAAAAUCCGGCGUCCUCUGGAGGGCGGAUGAGAAGAGGGGUACACUUGGCGGUCUGGAAAAUGUCCUGGGGCCAGUUUCAGGUUUAGGAGCUUGUGGGUAGCGUGGUUUCCCACACGCUGCCUGGCUUCCUACUCUCCCCCGCAGGGGCUGCCUCUCCUCCCACCCCGGAAGGCCGGCACCGGCUUCCCGCACUCGCUGAAGCCCGCACGGAGGCCGGGUGAGCCUGCCGCGGCCUCCCCCUCCCACGCCCCGACGCCAUGGGCCCUGCUCCUCUCCGCAGACGCUGCCCUCCCGCCUCAGGCCCCGGGCCCCGGGCACCGGGCCCGCCCUGCGUCCUGAACCUCGGCAUCCCGCUCUCCGGUCCACGGGACCCUGCUCUGCGGACCGCCGACCUCUCCGCUCGCGGCUGGCCUCCCUCGGGGCCCGGGCCGGCCAGGCCUGCUCAUUUCCUUGGCGGCCGCUGGCAUAAGGCGGCCACACGGAGGGCCCGGGACAGCGGUCUGAUGGCGCAGCCCCGCCUUGCCCCGGCGCUCUGACCCGGCCAGCGGCCUCACUCACCGCAGCGGCGCGUGCCCGCAGACAAAGGCCGGCGCCGAGCCCGCAGCAGCGCCAGCGCCGGCGCCGGCGGAAUGGACUACAACUCCCAGGAGUCUCCCCGCGAGCCCGCCCGCCGGGCCGUGGGUCUCGGCGGCCCCGGCUUCCCAAGAGCUCUGUGGGAAAUGUAGUUCUCUGGCGCGCCCUGCGCUCGGGCCCCGCAGGUCCCUAGGGCGCGGGGACCUCAAGCCGUCCCGUUUGGACUGGUAAUCCGGAGACUCACAGCGGUGACCUGUCAGCGGACGCGGAGCCGGGACGGAGCCACGGCCGCUCAGAUUAGCAGGAUCUGAUUGACAGCAUCGGGGUAGCAGACGCUGAGCCAGGGACUCAGGAAUACAGGGUUCUUGCAGGGCGUCGCGGAAGGAAACGAAGUUUUUGGGAGAAAUCCGUUUGAUAAAGCCUUGGCGGCUUCGAGGUCAUGUGUUGAGCCUCUGGCUGCAUGAACAAAAGCGAAGCCCGCUUUCAUGGAGCUUCUGUGAAGAGCAACAGGAACACAGGCAGUCCAGUCGUCCUGAGAUACUGGGAGGAGCAUGGUUGCUUUUGAACACGUAGGAGAUAAAGCCUCUCUAAUAAUGCCUGUUUUUUUUUUUCCUUCACUCUGUCUCCCAGGCUUGAGUGCAGUGGCACGGUGUCGCCUCACUGCAACCUCCGCCUUCUGGGCUCAAGUGAUUCUCCUGCCCCAGCCUCCCAAGUAGCUGGGACUACAGGAUCGGGGCCACAUCCUGGAGCUGUUCUGCCUGGCCGGGUGUAUCUCUGGGUCCCUGCCUCUGGAGCCCCUCUCCGUAGAUGUGUCUGUCCAUCCUCUUUCGUGAAGGACUAAUAAAGAAUGCUUCCUCUUGC